GUCAGAUGUGAAAUCCCCGGGCUUAACCUGGGAACUGCGUUUGAAACUGCCAGGCUAGAGUGUGGCAGAGGGGGGUGGAAUUCCACGUGUAGCGGUGAAAUGCGUAGAUAUGUGGAGGAACACCGAUGGCGAAGGCAGCCCCCUGGGCUAACACUGACGCUCAUGUACGAAAGCGUGGGGAGCAAACAGGAUUAGAUACCCUGGUAGUCCACGCCCUAAACGAUGUCAACU
Molecule: ribosomal RNA, 231 nt
Filed under: uncultured bacterium
Lineage: Bacteria
Description: partial 16S ribosomal RNA
Rfam family: Bacterial small subunit ribosomal RNA
Source: RNAcentral